This 689-nucleotide ribosomal RNA is filed under the name Microbacterium sp. K463. RNAcentral's name for it is "bacterial SSU rRNA". It matches the Rfam family "Bacterial small subunit ribosomal RNA", at positions 51 to 751 of the family's 1533-position model. The record is from RNAcentral. Lineage: Bacteria; Bacillati; Actinomycetota; Actinomycetes; Micrococcales; Microbacteriaceae.
ACACAUGCAAGUCGAACGAUGAAGCCGGAGCUUGCUCCGGUGGAUUAGUGGCGAACGGGUGAGUAACACGUGAGUAAUCUGCCCCUGACUCUGGGAUAAGCACUGGAAACGGUGUCUAAUACCGGAUACGAGCUGCGAAGGCAUCUUCAGCAGCUGGAAAGAACUUCGGUCAGGGAUGAACUCGCGUCCUAUCAGCUAGUUGGUGAGGUAACGGCCCACCAAGGCGACGACGGGUAGCCGGCCUGAGAGGGUGACCGGCCACACUGGGACUGAGACACGGCCCAGACUCCUACGGGAGGCAGCAGUGGGGAAUAUUGCACAAUGGGCGCAAGCCUGAUGCAGCAACGCCGCGUGAGGGAUGACGGCCUUCGGGUUGUAAACCUCUUUUAGUAGGGAAGAAGCGAAAGUGACGGUACCUACAGAAAAAGCACCGGCUAACUACGUGCCAGCAGCCGCGGUAAUACGUAGGGUGCAAGCGUUGUCCGGAAUUAUUGGGCGUAAAGAGCUCGUAGGCGGUUUGUCGCGUCUGCUGUGAAAAUCCGAGGCUCAACCUCGGACCUGCAGUGGGUACGGGCAGACUAGAGUGCGGUAGGGGAGAUUGGAAUUCCUGGUGUAGCGGUGGAAUGCGCAGAUAUCAGGAGGAACACCGAUGGCGAAGGCAGAUCUCUGGGCCGUUACUGACGCUGAGG